CAGGUAUAGCAAACAAAAAUUAAGGCCUAUCUGUUCAGUCAUUAGGUACCAUUUCAAUAGUUCCUCUUUUAGGAUCCAUUCUAUUGGAAACUUGAAUGUGGAUUGUACCUUUGACCACUGGCUUGUUCCUGAAAAUACCUCAAGUGCCACUGGGAUCCACAACCCUCCAUCUGAAACACUCAUUGUUUUGAUUUGGGUAUGGUUUGAGUGUAUCCCCAAGGAUUUCAUGUCAUGUAAUCUUGAUCCCCAAUGUGGUGGUAUCGAGGUGGUGGAACAUUUAAGAGGUGGGGCCUAGUAGAAGAUGGUUAAGUAUUAGGGGUACUACCCUUGGGAGGGUUUAAUGCCUUUUUCAGGGGUGAAUUACUUUUCUUGGAAAUGGGUUGUUUGGCUCUCUCUCCACUUACAUUUGGUACUGGGAAUUAAACUUUGGGGCAUUUACCAGAGAGCUACAUCCCUAACCCUUUUUAUUUUGAGACAGGAUAUUGCAAAUUGCUGAAGUUGGCCUUGAACUUGUGAUUGUGAUCCUCCUGCCUCAGCCUUCUGAGUUGCUGGAAUUAUAAGCAUGUGCCACUGCAUCUGUCUCUGUGUGUUAUUUCUUCACUGAUUGGAACCAGGGUGGGAGAAAGAGUGAGUGAAUAGUCAUAGUUAUUUUCUUUAACGUAUUUCAAAUAAAAAAGAGUUGGCAAGACCAUUCAUCUCCAAAAUUAAAGUCAGUUUCAAACUGAUCUAGGGUCUUAUCAUCUGGAAUCCUUUACCUUAAAGAUCACAUAGAGGGUCUGGGAUUGUCGCUCAGUGAUAGAUCACUUGCUUAGCACUUGUGAGGUACUGGGUUUGAUUCUCAGCAUUAUAUGUAAAUUAAAAUAAAGGUUCAUUGACAACUAAAAAAAUUUUUAAAAAAUCACAUAGAAUUAUGUGACCAUUUUACAAGUACAUAAUAUAAAAUCGAGAGUUUACUUAAUUUGCUUAUAAACCAAACUAUGUUCUAUCAAACCUUUCAGAGGCUCCCAGGUGAGAUCUUCAACCUUUGCUCCAUUUACCCUCUAGGAUUUAUUUCAGAUUCCAUGAUGGUCUGGUGGAAGAUGAGAAGAGACCCAAAGUCCUGAACUGGCUCAUCUCUCAUUUCCAUGGCAGGGGGAGGCUGAGAAGGGCAGGGGAAAUUAUGAAUCCAGUUUUCCACCAAAAAACAGUGCAGCUAAGGAUACUACUUGGUUUCACCUAUGCCAAAAGAAUAUUUGGAGUACCAAAUAAGGUAAAGAAGGUGUAGAUACUUGAGAAACUGUCUUCUUUAAACUUUUCUAUGUCAACCCCCCAUUUUUUCUUUUCCUUUUCCUUUUUUUGGAGUGCAGGUGCUCUAUAAAUGAGCUACUCCUUCAGGCCUUUUUAUUAUGAGACAAGGUCUUUUUGUUGCCCAGGCUAACCUUGAACUUGCCAUCUUCCUACCUUAGCCUCCCUAGUGCUGGGAUUAUAAGUGUGUGCCAUCACUUCUUGCUUCUCUAUUCCUUUUUAAAAUAUUUCAGUAGAUUCUCAUGUAAUCUUCUUGUUCUUAAGUAAUUAUUUUUCUUUUGAACCCUGUAGCACUUUACCACUGAGCUACACCCCUCAGCCUAUUUUAUUGUUUUAUUUUGAAACAGAGUAUCCCUAAAUUGCUGAGUCUCAUGAGUUGCUGAAGCUAGCCUUUGAAUUUAGGAUCAUCCUGCUGCAUUCUGCCUCAGGCUUCUAAGUCACUGGGAUUACAGGUAUGUGUCAACAUGCCUAGCUUCAUAAAUAAUUUUUUUUCAUAAGUAAUUUUUGAAAAUGCAGUUUUCUUUAAAAAUAUUUUUCAUUAGUGCCUUAUAGUUAUACAUAACAUUGUGGUUCAUUUUUUAAACGUUUUUUUUUUUCAGUUGUUGAUGGACCUCUUUACUUUAUUCAUUUAUUUAUAUUCUGUGCUGAGAAUUGAACCCAGUGCCUCACACCUGCUAGGUAAGUGUUCUGCCACUGAGCUACAACCUCAGCCCUCAUUUUGACAUAAUUUUACAAGUAUAAAAUAUAAGUUGCUCUAAUUCAAUCCCCAGUACUUUCCUUUUUCUUCUCUCCUCCCUUGCUUUGUUCCCUUUCCUUUACACUGCAGACCUUUCUUCUGUACAGUUUUUUAAAAAAAUUAGUACAUUAUGGAUAUACAUUUAUUAAUUCUUGGUACAAUUCCCUGAACUUUAGGGAUCCUAUUGAGAAAGUUGUUGCCUUGGCCUGUGUGUUGGAGUGUUGAGCCAACACAUUUUCUUCUAGCAGUGGCAGAGUUUCUGAUCUACUUCUUAGGUCUUUGAUCCGCUUUGAUCCAGUUUCAUUUUUCUACAUAUGGCUCUCCAUUUGUUCAAAAGACUAUCUUUUCUUCAGGGUAUGUUUUUGGCAAUUUUGUCAAGUAUGAGAUGACUGUAUCUAUGUGUAUUUGUCUCUGUGUCUUCUAUUAUCUUUCAUUGAUCUUCGUGUCUGUUUUGGUGCCAAUACUAUGCUUUUUUAUUAUUAUAACUCUAGUAUAAUUUGAAAUAUGAUAUUAUGAUGCCUCCAGCAUUGCUCUUGCUCAGGACUGCUUUGGCUAUUCUGGGUCUCCUGUCCUUUCUAAUGAAUUUUAGAACUGUUUCUUCUAGUUCUUUUCAGUAGUGAGGAUUGAACAAAGGCGUUCUAUCACUAAGUUACAAACCCAGCUCUUUUUUGAGUUUAUUUUGAGACUGUGUGUGGGGGGGGGUCAUUCUUUUUUAAAUUUUUAAAAAAUUUUUGUUCUUAAAGUUAUACAUGACAGUAGAGUAUAAUUUGACUUAUUUAUACAAACAUGGAGUCCAUCUUAUUCUAAUCAGGAUCCCAGCCUUGUGCUUGUACAUGAUGAAGGAAUUCAUUAUAGUGUAUUAAUUUAAUUUUUUAAAAAUUAGUUCUCAUUAGUUAUACAUGAUAGUAGAAAUCUCUUUGAUUCCUUGUACAAAAAUGGAGCAGAAAGUUUUACUUCUCUGGUUGUACAUGAAGUAGAGUCACAGCAUUAGUGCAAUCAUACAUGUACUUAGAGUAAUGAUUCGAACUGUGGUGUAUUCAUAUAUGUACAUAGGAAAGUUAGGUCCGAAUAAUUUCACCAUCUGUCCUCCCUCCCUUCCCUUAAUUCCCCUGAGACAGUAUCUUACUAGUUGCUGAGGGUCUUGCUAAGUUGCUGAGGCUCAUCUUGAACUUGUGAUCCUUCUGCCUCAGCCUCCUGAAUUCAGGAGGUUACAGGCAUGCACCACCAAAUCAGAUUAUUUUUUCUAGUUCUGUAAGAAAUGUCAUUGGUAUUUUGAUGGGAACUGCAUUGAAUCUUCAUAAUGUUUUUGUUAGUAUGACCAUUUUGAUGGUCAUGCAGUAUUAAUAAUCCUGCCUAUCUAAGAACAUGGGAUAUCUUUCCAUCUUCUAAUGUCUUCUUCAAUUUCUUUCUUCAGUGUUAAUUUAUUUUUCAGCAGAUUUAUUGGAGUAUAGGGAAACGAUUUAUAUAUUUAUCUUGUACCCUGCUACUUUGUUUGUCAGCUUAAGAAGACUUCUGGUGGAGUUUUUUGGGGUCUUCUAAAUAAUGGGAUCAUCUCAUCAGCAAAUUGAUAAUUUGUCAUCUUAUUUUCCUAUUUAUAUCCCUUUAAUUUCCUUCUCUUGUCUGAUCAUUCUGGCUAGAGUUUUAAGGAUUAUGUUGAAUAGGAGUGGUGAGAAUGGAUAUUCUUGUCUUGUUCCUGUUUUAGAAGAAAUGCUUUAAGUUUUUUCUUUGUUCAGAAUGAUGUUAGCUUUGUGUUUGUUAUAUGUAGUCCUAAAAUGUUGAGGUAAGUUUUUUCUAUCCCUAUUUUCUCUAGUUUUAAACAUGAAUGGGUGCUAUACUUAAUUCUUCUAAUGCUUUUUCUGUAUCUAUUGAGAUGAUAAUGUGAUUCUUCCAAUUAUUAUUUUGUGGUAAAUUAUGUUGAUUUGCAUAUGUUGAAAUAACCUUGCAUCCCUAGGAUGAAAUCCAUUCUUAACAUAAUUUUUAAAAUUAGUUCUUUAUAAUUUUUUUUGUUUAUACAAGGUUCAGGAUUCAGAAAUUCAUAGUGAUUACUUUAUCUGAAUCAGGAAUUGGGAAUCUAAGAAGAUAUCUAUAAUAAUUUACAAGGAGUAAAAUGUAGGGAAAGGAGAAAUUUAUUAUAGUUAUUUGGCUGGGGAUGUAGCCCAAUGGUAGAGUGCAUGCUUAUUAUGUGCAAGUCCCUUGGUUAAAUUCCUAGCCCCACAAAACAAAUAANAAAAAUGAACAACAAUUGACAAGCCCACCCCUUUGUUCUCUCCAUUUCUUUCUUUUCCUUCUUUUUACCUUGUUUCUUCUAUUAAUUGAUAUUUGCCCUUCCUUCCUUCCUCAAAUGAUUUCUUUAUAAUUUUUCUUUCUUUUGCGCUCUCUCUCCCUUUCUUUCUUUCUUUGCUUCCUUCCUUCCUUCUUACUUAAACCUAGGGCCUCACAAACAUGCUACUACUGAGCUGCACCCCCAAUCCGUCCCUUGUAUUUCAUUGUCAUUAUACCUUCUUGAGUCUCUGAAUUAGUUUUUUUUUUUUUUGUGUGUGUGUGUGUAUUGGGGACUGAACACAGAGGUACUUUUUAAUUUUUUAUUUUGAGACAGGAUCUUGCUAAGUUGCUGAGGCUGGCUUUGAACUUGCAAUCCCCUGCCUCAGCCUCUGGAAACACUGGGAUUAUAGGCAUGAACCAACAUGCCCAGCUGUAUUAGUCUAUUUUCUAUUACAGAAAAAAAUCACUGAGACUGUGUUACUUGUAAAUAAAGGAGGUUUAUUUAGCUCACAAUUCUGGUGGCUGGAGGGUCCAAACAGCAUGGUGCCAGUCUCUUGGCAAGGACCUCCUAGCUAUGUCACAACAUUGUAGAGAAAGGAAAAGGGAACCUUCUGUAAGCACAAGAGAUUACAUGGAAAGAUAGGAAAUCAGAGAUUUUGGGGUCAGAUUUAUCCUUUUUAUAAUAACUUUUAUAAUGAUAAUCUCACAAAAACUGGUCUUUUGUGAGAACUAUGUUAAUAUCUUCUAAGGAUCAUGACCUAACAAUCUCCCAUGAGGUCCCACCUCUUAAAAGUUCCCACCACCUCUCAAUGUUGCCAUACCAGAGAUCAUCUUUCAUUACAUGAGACUUUGAGGAACAUAUUCAAACCAUAUCCCAGUCUGUUACUCUAGCAUUAUAUGGCUUUCCCUCUCUACUUUCUUUCUCUCAUCCCACUGUUUAAUUUCUUUAGUGUCUUUUUGCCCUUAUCAUCUAUACCCCAUCUCAUUCUCUUCCUCUUUCUUUUGACUUUCUCUCUCUUGUUUCUUCUCCCUGCUCCCAACUUGCCACACUUGAAAGAAGGAAUAUAACCUUGCCAAAGAUCUGAAGACAUGACUGUAUAGAAAGGGAAAAUGGAGGCCCCCUUUGUGAGGCCAAAUGGACCAAAAGGUCACUAACAAAACCAAGCCUUAAUGCCUGUAUUGUUUUCAGGACAAUGUGAAAUACGUGUAUGGUGGAUUUUUUGAAGUAUGAUUUUGCUAAGAAAUUUACUUAAUCCAUAGCAAAGAAAUAAGACUAUGAUAGGUGUAAGUUUCUAAGAGUUUAUUUUAUAGUAAAAUAUGCUAUGUCCCAAGAUAAACAAGCAAAUUUUGUUUUUACUGAGCUCAGAAUUCUCUUUUAUGUCCAUGAGAUGGCAGUAGAGCAAAAGAAAAACAUUAAAAGCCUCUAUCUCUUUAUUUCAGAGACUUGGUGAAUUUUCCCACAAAGCUGCAAUGAAGACAGAGGGAGAACAAAAUCUAUAUAAAGAGAAAUUACAAGAAGGUGUGAUAUAACACUCGAACAUAUAUACUCAUUUUGACAAAACGUGUUUGGAGCUGAAUUCUUUCUCUGCAUUUGAGUCUUUAUAAGAUAAAAGUACAUACCUUUAGGGAACUAUUAGGGAACUAUUAACUCUAAAUCCCAAUACAUGAAGUUAAUUUUAAUUGGCAAAAAGUUAAUUUGACAUUAUUAUUAAAAAUAUCUUUUGGGUUUGUUCAUUUUUUUUUCUUUCUUUUCUUCCUUUCUUUUUUACUUGUAGUUCUGGGAAUUGAACCCAGGGCCUUUCUCUUGCUAAUCAUGUAUUUUACUACUGAUUACACUCCAGCCCAAUUUUCAAGUGUCAUUUAAUUGAUUUAUUCAAGAUUAGUUAUGUUUCAGAGGACAUUUGAUUUGAAAAUUGGAAAUCCUGAGAAAGUCAGCUCUUUAGUAGAUUUUUGAAUAGUUUAACAAGAAAUUUAAGGGCAAUUUUCUCAAGAUUCUCAAAAACAAUAACAAAUAAUGACUAUGGGGAGGGAGAUAUAAAGCACAUGUGUAAAACCGUUAACAAUUGGUGUAGUUGGGUGGAAGUCAUGUGGUAUUCGUUGUACUGUUCUUGUAUAUUUUCCAUAGUUUAAAAAUGUUUCAACUAAUAAAUUUUUUUAAAAGUUUCAAAUUAAAAACUAGAAAAGCAAAAAAUGUUAUCACAUAACUUACACAUAAGAGAUUGUGUCAUAACUCAUGCAUAGUAGAUUCAUAGAAGGGAUUAUUAUGCAGCAUAACCACAACUAUAAUAAAUAUACCAAACAUAUCAGUCUAAGAAGUUUUGGAUGAGACCUACUAUUCUAGCAAAUUAAGGCCUAGUCUCUACCAUGGUUGGACCCCAGACUGGUAUUCAUCUAACACAUACUUAAUUAACAAUUACUGAAUAUGAGACUCUUUACAGGGCUUAUAGCAACCAAUAUUGUAGACAAAAUUUCUGCCCUCCUGGAGCUAGGAAAGACAUAAAAAAGCAAAUACCCAUACCAUUGAUUGUGUAAUGGUAAGUACUAGAAAGAAAAUGAAAAUUACUAUUACUUUGAUAGGGUAGUCAGUGUAGGCCGGCCUCUCGAGAGGUGACGUUGGAGUAAAAGCUUGAGCAAACCAGGUGUGGGCUCUGUGCAUCUGGAGAGAAGUUUCUAUGCAAAGACCAUGAGUCAGGUGGAUAAGCAGCCAGUAUGACUUAAUGAAAUGAAGGAUAGGAACCAGCCAGAAGAUGAGACUGGGCAGGUACUAGGGCCAGAUCAUGGUUUGGCCUUAUGAACCAGUAAGUGAACAGACAUUGAGGAGAAAAGAUCUUUAAUAGAAUGUAAUAUUAUCAAAAUCUUUGUUCAGAAAACAGUUUGGUAUUUUCUCAAAAUGUUGAACAUAGAAUUAUCAUAUUACCCAGCAGUUCUACUUCUAGGUAUGUAUUCAAAAUAAUUGAAAGCAGAGUCCCAAAGAGAGAUUUGCAUACCCAUAAUCAGAACAGUAUUAUUCACAAUGGCUGCAAGGUGAAGCAAAUUAAGUGUUCAUUGACAAAUCAAUGAAUAAGCAAAAUGUGAUAUGUACACAUACUUGGAAUAUUAUUGAAUUUUAAGAAGGAAUAAAAUUUUGAUACAUGUUACAACAUGGAUGAAACUUGAAAAGUGUUAUACUAAGUGAAAAAGAAAGAAAAAAUACUGUAUGAUUCUGCUUAUAUGAGAUACUCAGAAUAGACAAAUUCUCAGAGAAGAAAAGUAGAACAGAGGUUACCAGGGUCUAAGGGUGGUGAGUAAUGGGGAGUUAUUUUUUAAUGUGUGUGGAGUUUCUGUUUGGAAUUAUGAAAAAGUUCUGGAAAUGGUUAGUGGUGGUAGUUGCACAAUAUUAUGAAUAUACUGAAUGCCACUGAGCUGUACAAUUAAAAUGGUUAAAAUGGCAAAGUUUAUAUUAUACAUAUUUUAGUACAAUCAAAAAACUUUCUUUAUUUCUUCAUUAUUCCUAUUAUUUACUUUAUCCUCUCAAGUAACUGUUUACAAGGACAAGGACUUUAAGAUAUGGAUACUUUCUAGUAGUAUUUUUUUUUAUAUUGGGAAUUAAACCCAGGGACACUUUACUACUGAACCACGUUCUUAGCCUUUUUUAUUUUUUUGAGACAGGAUCUUGUUACGUUGCUGUAACAAGCCUCAAACUUGUAAUCCUCACGCCUUAGCCUCUUCAGUUGCUGAGAUUAAAUGCAUGUGCCCCUGCACCUGGCUUUUCUAGUAUUAUUGACCAUCAAUUUUUACUAUCUUUUCUCCUUUUUCCCUAUAUUAUGUAUGAAACAAAGACACACACACAUAUACACAUACACAACUAAAUUGCUUUAUUUAUAGUAAUUAUCAAUUUUUUUGUACUGGGGAUUAAAUCAUUGAUAAGUUGCUGAGGGCCUCCCUAAGUUGUUGAGGCUAGCCUUGAACUUGUGAUCUUCCUGCCUGGGCUACCCCACUAACCCAGUUACUGGGAUUACAUGUUAAAUGAAAUAGCAAGCUAUAAAAUUUUAUAUGGAAUAGGAUCUUAUAAGACUUGGAAUAAAAAGCACAAGCUCCAUAAACUAAAAACUAAUUUACUGAGAUGUUAAUGGUGUUCAUCUCUGGAUGCUAUCCUUAUGCAUAUUUAUUUUCAUUAUUAUUUUUAUAUAUUUUCAUUUUCUUCCAAUUAUUAUCUUUAAAAAUCUUUUAAAGACAGAAUUUGAAAGACUAGUACAAUGAUUAUCCUUGUACCUAGUUGGAUUCAACAAUUGCUUGUUUUCCCAUAUAUGAUCUAUAUCUAUUUUAUCUAUAUAUCUGCAUCAGAAGUUGAUAAGUUUUGUCUCAAGGCCAUAUCUGGCCCAUCAUCUGUUUUUGCACAGCUCUGAAUUAAGAAAUGUUUUUUUUCAUUUUUCAAAUAGCAGUAUUUUAAUUGGCUAUAUGCAUACAUACAAAGUAUCUUUGAUUUUGCCUCUUGGUCUGCAAAACCUAAAACUUCAUCAUCUUACCCUGUGUAAAAAAAAAAAAAUUCCAGCUGGGUGCAGUAGCACUUUUCUAUAAUCUCAGUGCCCCAGGAGGCUAAGGAAGGAGGAUCACUGAAAGAACUGAAACCGAGAUAUGGAGUUACCCAUAGGAGAAGUCCGUUUAUUCCAGUACAGCAGAGCUUUUUAUCCAGGGUAGGCAGAGCCCCUUAGGACAGGAGGCAAAUUCUCAUUGGAUUACAGUCAUUAGAAUGGUUUUGUCAGUCGCCCAUUGGUGACUUAUUGGCACCUUAAUCUGCAUAAAGUGGGAAACAGACCCAGAAGAGAAGCCUAGUCAGCACCAUCUUGGGGCAGGUAACCCAAUAUUUUCCCCUUUUUAGUUUAAUAAUGGGUGUAGGGUCAGAGUUCGUUCUGACUGCUUCCUGCUGAGCAGGGGCGUUGCCAGGAAGGGGCGGGGAGAACACUGGAUUACCCUGAGGUUAAUCCCCAAAGCAGCACCAAAAAACUAAAGACUUCUGAUGGGGCCAAAAAAAGUACCCUGAAACCAUAGGUCCUGGAUCACGUCCCACUAAUCUUCCUCAGUGUUCAUGGCGAAGGGCAUCCAAAAAGGUUUUCCAUGGAUCUGCCAUUUAGCAGGCCGUGAGUUGAGUGGUAGAAGACUGAUCAGGAUCUUCUGAGGCCAGUAGUUGGUAAUUCCUAAGAAGGAGCUGGUUAAAAGAUUGGUUAGAGAUUUUUGCUAUCUGAUUUUGAGCAAAUUUAAUCAUACAAGGGAGAAAGAGGCAGGCCAACAGAAUAAUGGAGAGCGGUCCCAUUAUUGGCCACAUCCAUGUCAAGAGGGGUGACUGGAGCCAGAAGGAAAAAGAAGAGGUUUGGGAUGUCUUCCUUAAGCCUGCUGCCAGAUCAUUAAGUUUAUUGAUGUUUUGUUAAGUAUCCAUUAGGAUCUGGAGCCAAGAGUAAGACAUUGUGAGUGAAGAAGAGGCUGAAGAGGAAGAGGAGUCUCGAAUUGCCUAUAUGAUAACCUCUUCUGAAUGCAGAAUGUCAGAGGACACUCGAGAAACUUGAGAUAGAAGAAGGCGGUGACCCCUGCAGCCCAUUGUGGGUCCCAUGGGUCCUUGAUGGUGAUGUUAUAUUUUUGAAUCUGGCUAACAUAGGAGCAUAUUCCCAUGUUUAAUUGGCCUGAAUAUGGACAUCCCCCAUAUACCUCUGGCCACCAACGGCAUUGUUCAUCCCAUUGAUCAUAUAGGAAACAAAGGUAUGGCCUUGAGGACUGCUGAAUAAGUUUUGUUGAGGCAGGUAAGGAUAAGUACUCAGUGUCAGAGCAACCAUGCAGGGGGCAGUCUGCCGUUGCGUUUAGGGCUGUAGUUUUAGUAUUUUUUUAAGUAUAGGUUUGUCUAGCCUUAAAUCUCCAGACAUAAGGGGAAGAAGAGACCAUAAGAAUAAGGCUUAUGAGAGUUAAGAAAAGGAGCGGCUUAGAAACCCAGGGGUUCAUUUUCCAAUAUGGGUUCAAGAAGCGCGACCUGAGACAGAUGGAGCUUAGACUGCGCCGCAUGCAGAUAAAUCCUAGGUCGGCUUGAGCCUGGAAAUAUGAAUUCAAGGAGUUAAUUGGUUAUUAGGGAGCACUAGCCUGGGUGCAGUUGGAAUACAUAAUACAACUUGUGUUGGACCUUCCCACUUUGAUAGUAAGGGACCCUUGUCUCCUGGCAGAUUAAAGAGGGCAGAUUGGCCAGGUGACAUGGAGAGAGGGAUCUGGGAGGUUUCCAGAUCUGGAAGAAGCCAGUCCUGAUGUUUCCAGAUCUCAGCAUGGAGAUGAGUAAGAAGUGGUAACGCAUAGCGACUGGGGAUGGGCCAAGAUGAUGGGGUAAGGCCCGGAGAAGGAUUGGGCUUCCAUAUAUGACCUCAAAGGGAGAGAGAGAUGACGGCUUCUUAGGUAGGGCUUGCAGGAGAAGGGCUAAAGGAAGUAGUUUAGUCCUUUAAGUCCAUGACAAAAAAGUGGGUGGUUACGGUAGGAAUUUGUGACAAAAGGGUAUAGGAGUUGGGAACCAGCGGGUGGAUGGGUUUAAUAGUGGAAUUAAUGAGGUGAUGAUCUUGAACCAGGCGGUAAGUGCCAUUAGGCUUUUUUACUGCCAGUAUGGGGGUGUUGAAUGAUGAAUGUGUGGGCCUAAUGUAUCCUUAUUAGUCUUUUAUGAUUGGCUCUAAGCUAAUGAGAGCUGCUGUAGAUAAAGGAUAUUGGGGCUGGCUGGGGAAGUAGGAGGGAUCCUUAAGUUGCGCCAAAAUGGGUGGGCAAUUUACCCUGGAUGGACUUUGAAUGUCCCAUAUUAUGGGAUCCACCAGGUGUAGGAAAGCGUCUUUCAGAGUGGGCUUCUAUUGAUGUAUCACAUUGAGAGCAGAAGGGGAGCGUAAAAUCUUCAGGCAGAAGUGUUAAAAGGAAGGAGGGCAUGGAUGAGAUUGGCAAUUGGACGGAGAGUGUAGCUCGGAGAGUGGAAAUAAUAUCUUCCCAGAAGGGGUACAAGACAUUGAGGCAUAACCAAGAAAGAAUGGGUGAAUGGGAACUUUUCUAUGGAACAAGUGGGGGGGUUUAUGAGGAAUGAUGGUCUUCCCUCCUACCCCAUCAAUAGGAGAAGAUGAAGGGAACGUGGGACCCCAAUAUUCCCUCAGGACUGAAAACGUGGCUCUGGUAUCUAUGAGGAAACUAAUAGAGUGCCCUUCUACAUAAAUUUGUACCCUAGAUUCUUGCCUGCUGAUGGUAACAGUCGGGGAGGAGGACCCAGGACCUCAUCAAUCAUUGAGUGCAAGACCCAGGAGGUCAGAGCCAGGGUGUUUGACCGCAUUCCUCCUUCGGGGAUUGGGACAAUCCGACCCCCAACGGCCCAUCUGUUGGCACUUCGGACAAGGCGUUGGAGUCCUCGGGGUUGGGCAGGCCUUUGCCCAGUGACCCUCUUUACCGCAUUUAAAGCAGGCACCCAGAGGACUCUUACCCCAGAAGGGCAGUGGUCAUUGAGCUUGUGGAGCCUUUUGUAAGACCGGGGCCAGCAUUUGAAAUUUUUGGUGUUCAAAUUUUUCAGAUCUCUGAUGCUUGAGGUGCUCAGCCUCCUUAUCCCGGUUAUGAUAUACUUUAAAGGCUAUGGCCAAAAUUUCGGUCUGAGGAGUUGCAGGAUCCUGUUCCAAUUUCUUCAAUUUAGCUUUUAUGUCGGGGUAGCUUUGGGAUAGGAAGUACGUCAUAAGGACACGUCUCCCAUCUGGAGACUCAGGAUCUAAAUUUGUAUAUUGUUGGAGGGCUUUUGUAAGGCACUCCAGGAACUCUGAAGGAGUCUCUUCCCUUUUCUGAAUAACUUCCUGAAGUUUUUGAAAGUUGACUGCUUUUCUAGAGGCCUUCUUAAGGCCUACAAUAAUACAUGUUGCAAAUUGGUCCCUCAAUUGGAGUCCAGCCACAGUAUUAUAGUCCCAGUUCAGUUCCUGGUCUGGGACCGCAUGGGGACCAGUUAGGGUGAUUAGGGUUAACUAGGUGGGUCCCAUCUGCAUGGGCCGGAGCCAAGUCCUAUACCCUUCUACAUUCCCCAGGGAGUAAUGUAUUGGCCAGGAUCAUGUAUAUAUCUUGGUGGGUGAGACUAUAGGCUUGUAAGACCCACUGAAAUUCUCUAAUAUAAGUAGUGGGGUCAAUGGUGUAAGAUCCCAGCCUCUUUUCAAGCUGUGUGAGAUCGGACAUAGAGAAGGGAACAUGGACAUGCACAAUGCCUUCAGAUCCAGCCACUUCACGUAAAGGGGCCAUAGUAAGGGGUUGACUAGAAGGAUUAUGAAGCGUGAGAGAUAGGGUUGUGGGGGGGGGCUGAAAGAGUGGGCUGGGGGUGAAGGGGAAAGUGGAGGUGGGGCAGAAGGCUGGGGUGCAGAAGAUGGUGAAGGACGAUAAGGGGGUGGUUCCUCAGCCAGGUCAAAAGAAGAUACAAAAGAAUCACCAGGAGGUGAGGGGACAGGCUUAUAGGCUAAGAGGACUUGUUGAGGACUGCAUGUGGAGGAAAGUUUGGGAUGGGUACGAAGAAGGGAAAAGGCUUCAACAUAAAGGAUCUCCUUCCACUUUUUUGAGCGCUCGCAGUAGUUGAACAAGUCACGAAGAAUUUGGGGAUCUAAGGACCCUUCAGCAGACCAUUUACUGAGAUUGUCCAAAGGAUAGUAUAGCCAGUCUUGAGUGCAAAAUUUGAUUAAUAAUUUAGGCUUAAUGUCUAGAGCAAAGGACAGACAGUUCAAAUUGUAAAGAAGGCAUUUUAGAGGGGAGUCAUUCGGAAGGGAAGAAGAGGCCCCCAUGGUGAGGACAGAGGAGAACAAGGAAAGUCAAGGAGAAGAAACUCUGGACCGGAAUUACAAAUGGGACCCAGUUGGGCGUCCCCAAGAGGUAUUUCUGUUUGACGGACUCAUUAGAGUGUGAAACUGGAGGAGCAGUUGGGUCAUCACCCAAGGGCUCUUCCCGUAGGGUGGAAAUGCCAGAGGUCUCGGAGCACUUGGCACUAGGCAUUUGUCGGAGAAGGAGAGGAGAGAGAGAGAGAGAGACUGGGAAGGAGGGGUCUGUUCUUCCCUCUGAUUUCGUUAGGGUAAGGCAGGUACUGUCUUGGGAAAUGACCUAGGAGACCACUGUGGUCAUGAAGACCUAGGUGGGGUGAAUUCUCCUCCCACAGCCAAGCGUCGGAGUUGCCUAAUGAUCAUGGUUCUCUGCAAUAGCAAGACCCAGGUGGUCACUUCAUAGGGGGCCCCACUCACCUAGAGAUCGGCUGGUGUUGGUCCGGAAGAAGCAAGCCCUCGAGAAGGUGGAUGAGGAGGAGAAACUCUGGUAGGUUUGAAUUGGGAGGGGUCCUAAGGGAGAGAUUGUCCCCUCCCCAGGAGAGAAAGAACUGAAACUGAGACAUGGAGUUACCCAUCUAAGAAGUCCGUUUAUUCCAGUACAGCAGAGCCUUUUAUCCAGGGUAGGCAGAGCCCCUUAGGACAGGAAGCAAAUUCUCAUUGGAUUACAGUCAUUAGAAUGGUUUUGUCAUUUGCCCAUUGGUGACUUAUUGGUGCCUUAAUCUGCAUAAAGCGGAAAAUGGACCCAGAAGAGAAGCCUAGUUGGCGCCAACUUGGGGAGGGUAACCCAAUAAGUUUGGAGCCCUAAGCAACGUAGUGACCCUGUCUCAAAAUAAAAAGGACUGGGGAUUUAACUUGGUGGUAAAGUGCCCUUGGGUUCAAUUCCCAGUACAAAAUAAAAACAAAACCAAAAAUAAUUCCCCUACUCCAAAAAAUAUUCCAACCUUGACACACACACACACACACAUACAUUAUGCUGAACCAUUUGAAAGCAAGCUGCACAUUAUAACAUUUCUGCUUCAAAUAAUUCAUUAUUGUAUCUCCUUAUAUAACAUUUCUGCUUAGACAUAGCAUCAUGAUCACACCAAAGAAAACAAACUAUUAUUUCAUAAUAUAAUAAAAUCUACAAAUUUAUGUGAUUUAUAACUUUUGCAAAAUGAAAAUGCAAAACUUUGUAACAACAAAAGAAAAUAAUCUCUUUUUUAAAAAUCAGAUUUUUAUAAUCAACAUGAAUUGUUCCCAUCAAUUUUAUUAUUCAAGGGAUUUAGGAAAGCUGCUUUUACUGGCUGCUCUCCUGGGCGUUUCAGGUUGAAAUUUAAAGUGUUUUUAAGUCAAACAGCUCAUAUAUUCUGUGAAGUAUUGGUGGUAGUAGUAUUGUUUGCUGUAGGUAUUGGCUGGACAAGACAGGAUACUGUAUAAUCUUUAUAUUCAAAAUUAUUUCUGAUAUCUCAAAUAGUAUUUGCUGCUGCUGUUGUUGGAGAUUGAACUCAAGGGCUCAUGCAUAUGUUCUACCAGUGAGUUACUCUCUCAGCCUCAUAUAAUUUUUAAAGCUAGAUGGUACUUGGUAGUGUGUUAUGUUAGCCCUUGUAACACUUUUGAGUAUGACUAAAAUUUUUCAUAAUAAAAAAUGUAUGUAUGUAUUUAUGUAUGUAUACAUCACUAUAAUAAUAGAUUUGACUCAUGACUUCUACUAAGACAAAACUGUGUUUACGAUAUCUUGGGAAAGUUAAAAUUUAGAUGUGAAAACUGUGUGUUUGCAUGGACUUUUAGAAGAAGAAACAUAGCAGUUAAGUCAAACAAAACACAGAAAGAAAGAUUGGUUUAAAAAUUUGAAUGGAUUUUGAGAAAAGGCUGCUUUAUUCUUUGGGAGUUUUGUUUUUGUAAACAUUUCAUUUUUUGUGGGAUGUGAAUCAUGUGUUGGAAUCCCCUGAUUUAGCUGUGGCAUAACUAAGUCUAGAAGGUUUGGGGGAGGCUCUGUUUUUAAAAUUCCCCACUACCAAUCAUGAUUAUGGUUACAUGAGAUUUGUGUCUUGAAAAAAGAGAUGUGUCCCCAAACUCUGGAAUUUUUAACCAUGUACUUUGUAAGCUCAUCUUUGUUCUGUUUGAGCCAUAAUGUUAUGUCUGCUUUUACCACAAUCAUAUGGAUAAGGGACUAGCAGGCCAGGCCUUCUUCCAUCAUGAAACAGGGUAGAAUCUGCUUUUUUUUUUUUUUUUUUUUCUUUUGGUACUAGAGUUUGAACCCAGAAGUGCUUAAACACUGAGCCACGUCCCCAGCCCUAUUUUAUUUUGAGACAGGGUCUCUCUAAGUUGCUGAGGCUAGUCUCAAACUUGGGAUCUUCCUGCCCUAGCCUCUUGGGUUGCAGGAUUACAAGCAUGGGCCAUCAUGCCAAGCUAAAAUCUUGCUUUUUAUAGUCAGUCAAAAGAUCAACCAAAUUCCUUCUUCCUUGCUUCAUGAGGAACUCAAAGAUAAAUAUCCUAGCACUUCUUUUAAAAAGUAGUGGUAAUAAUGCUGUAUUUUGUAUGGGAAAUGUAGUAAGAAAAUUUGGGGGAAGAGUUAUAGUGAACCUUUGAAAACUCUUAGGGUUAAAAAUGUUGUACAGGACUAUGGGUAUAUAUAGCUCAGUAGUAAAACACCUGCCUCACAUGUGUAAGGCCUUGGGCUGAUUCCCAGCAUCUCACAUGCAAAAAAUUAGUACUGUUAUGCAAACAUAAAACAUACAGAUUUUUAAUAUGCUCAAUGACAUAUUAAGAGUAAAGUUAUUAAUUAUAGACUAUUAAAUUCAAGGCAGCCAAAUAUACUUGAAUUUGCAUAAUAUUUAUUAUUUUAGAAGUAAGUUGUUACAUAACACCUUCUUUUUAUUGAGCAGAAAGUGACAUUUGUUAUUCCUUUCUUUUAUAUGUAAGUCUUAUUUCAUGAUAAUAUCUUUCAAUCUGAGCAACAUAAUUCAGUACUUCUUGAUUAUAUCAAUAUUAUAUCUAGUUGGCUUAAAAUGUCUUUAUGAAGCAGCUUUUCAUCUGCUAAUAUCAUCACUAUAACCCGUGUCCUCUUUCCUUCUUUUUUUUUUUUUUUUUGGCGAGGAUAUUGAGCCCAGGAGUGCUCUAGUACUGAGCUAUAUUCCCAGCCCUUUUUAUUUUGAGACAAAUUGCCCAGGCUAGCCUCCAAUUUGUGAUCCUCCUGCAUCAGCCUCCUGAGUAGCUGAAAUAAUAGGUAUGCACCACCACAUCCAGCUUAAUGACUCUUUAUUUAAUAUGUAGUUAUUAUAGUUAAGAUAUGAGGUGUUCCUCAAAAGCUCCUGUGUUAAUGCAGGAAUAUUCAGAGAUGAAAUGAUUGGAUUGUGAAAACUGUAACCUAAUCAGUUCUUCCUAGUUUGAAUGAACUAAUUGGGUGGUAACUAUAAGCAGGUGGAUCAUGGCUGGAGGAGAUGGGUCAUUGGGGGCAUGUUCUGGAAGGGUUCAUCUUCCCUGCAGCCCCUUUUCCCUUCCUUUUCUUUGUUUCCUGGCUAUUAGAAUCAGAACAAUUCUCCUCCUCAACACCUUUCUGCCAUGAUGUUCUUAUCUUGGGCCCAGAGCAAUUGACUCCACUGACUAUGGACUAAAUCUCUGAAACGGUGAGCCCAAAUACACUUUCUCUUCUCUAAGUAGUUGUUCUUAGGUAUUUUGGUCACAGAGACAUAAAAGCUGAUUAACACAAUAGUCAAUUCAUUAUCAUUGAACUCAUGGCCAACGCUGCUAUAACACAUGCCUGGAAAAAAGCUUAUCUAACACAUGUGUUUUCUCUGUAACAUCUGAGUCUUUUUGUACUGGACAAUACUUCAUCAUUAUGCUUAGGAUCAUUUUAAACAGCAACAAAAAACACGAAAUAUGAAAAACAAUGACACCAUAUAGACUCUAAAAAGGACACCUGUUUACAUUAUGAGAGCUGCAACUGGAAGGCAGAGAGUUGAAACUGGAAGCCUUGUUUUACCUCAGCUUGGAAUGCACUCAUGGAGCAACUCAACAUUUUCACUGCUGUGAGUGAUCAUGCCUGCAAAAGUGCCAUAAAUACUGAUUUGGGGAAUAAAAAAAUUUAACAUUUUCAAAUAUGGAAUCUGUGAAUAAUGAGGAUUGACUGUAUUUGCAGUGCCUUUGCCAAGUUCUAUAUGUUCAAAGAUGAAUAAGACUUAACUGUUAAUGCUCAACAAGCUUAAAAAUUAAUCUCAGGGGAGUGAGGUGAACAAAACUAAUAUAAUACAGUGAUGACCACUAUAAUUGAGCUAUGAGCAAGAAUAAGAUUUUUCAGGAAAAAGCACAUAAUUAUCUCUUAGUAUAUAUCAUGGGAUAGUGAGAAGACUAAUUGACUUUGAAAUCAGGACUUGGCACCAGUUCUGGCUUUGCCCUGAAACAGCUGUGUGAUUGUAUUCAAGUCCUUUAACAUUUUGAGUUUUAGUCUAUUCAUUAGAGAUAUGAGGAUGGUAAUACCUAACUUCCAGACUACUAUAGUGACAAAAGAAUCCAAUACUGAACUUGGAAAAUAGUAUGUACUCAAUCAGUUACUUGGGUUUGCGGGGGGCAUGGACAGGGAAGUAAUGGUUCACUUUACAGAAGGUGACAAUCGGCUGUGUCUUGAAGCAUGAGGAAGGUGUCUAUGGGUGCACUGUUGUGAGAGUUUUGAGUUCUAAAGCCCUUUGUAUUUUUGUACUUUAAAUUCCUCUAUCUAUUCAAGUGAGGUGCUAUGAAUGUAAUAGUUACUCUGUUAUUAUGUAUUGACAGUUUGGUUGGUUGCGUGAGUAAAAGGGGAAGGAUAUCUUUGGUAUCUCUUAGUCACAUUUGCGCAGCAACACAUUCUUGGAACACUAUAUAUUAUUAGUCUUUGGAGAUUUAGUUUGUAGUAAUUUAACAGGAGAAAUCAUGUGCUUCAGCUAGGAGUUAUAUACUCCCAUAAGUUUAUUUUGAGUACAAAAGCAUGAAAGAAAAAUGAAGGGGUGUGUGUGUGUGUGUGUGUGUGUGUGUGAGAGAGAGAGAGAGAGAGAGAGAGGAGGCAGGAAUUCUUAAGGGAGAGAUAUUUGAUUUAACAAUAUGGAUAAAUCUUGGCAAUGUCAUAUUAAGUGAAAUAGCAAUUCUUCCAAGAAUAUAUGCAAAGAUAUAAAUAUAAUCUGGAGAAAUUAGGUGGCUCUGUAACAAAAGGAUGAAAGCUAAUGUUACUAACAUGGGGCCUCAGGAUGUGACUUACUAAGAAACUUGUAGCAUGGAUUUUGUUAUAUUCUUGCCCAAAAUGAAUCACUUGAAUCCAAUCAAAGGGAAACAUCAGAAGAACCAAAAUGAAGGACAUUAAUAAAAUACCAGGCACUGACAUGUUAAAUUAUCAGACUUUCAUAAUGGUAAGGUUGUGAGGAGCAAAGAAAGGUUGAGGAAAUGUUUAAGAUUAAAGAAGACUAAAGAGAUAAGACAACUGAGCACAAUGUGUAAUUCUGGACCGGAUUACAUACUUGGAAAGCCUCUAUUAACAAUAUGUUGGGACAACUGACAAAACUUAAAAAUAGACUAUAGAUAGUAUAUAAAUAUGGUUUCAAUGUUAAAUUUGAUAAUUGUGGUUAUAUAAGAAUUUCCUUGUCCUUAGGAAAUACACACUGGCAUAUUGAGAGAGAAAAGAGUCAUGAUAUAUAUAUACACACACACACACAUACAUACAUACAACCUAUUUGCAAGUGAUUUGGAAAAUAUUAAUAAUAUAUAAAUAUAUAUAACAUAUACAUAUAUGUAAGUAUCAGUAAAGCUAUGAGAGAGUCCUUGUAUUAUCCUUACAAUUUUUUGUAAAUAUGAAAUUAUAUCAAGAUAAAAUGUGACUUCAAAAAAGAUAUAGAAAAUAAGACUAAAACAAAAAAAAGGAGGACAAACAGAAUUAUAACUACCAAGAAACCCAAAAAUAUACAGUAAACCAAAUUAGUUAUAGUAGUUAGAUAGGAUGAAACUAUAAAAAGAAAGGAUGUAUGAUGCACAGGUUUUAGCAUGAUGGUGACCAUUAAUGGUGAAAGUGGGAUAACCGGAGAAUAUUCUUAUUCUUAUUCAAAAAAUCCUGACAUUCAGGAAAGAUGAUUAUUGAAACAAGUAAUUAGGAAAAAAAACACAAACCAAAUUAAAGAAGUCCGUGCAUGGAACCUGACAAAAAUAUCAAGAAAAACUUAAUGAACAUAACCUACUCAUUUCAUUUGAAGGCAGUAGACAAAAGGAAAAAUAAAAAAGUGAGAGAAAGAUGAGGGGCAGUAGGAAAGGGAGAAAUUGGAAAAUCUUAAAUCCUUUUAAGAAAAAAGGAAAAACAAAACUCUAGAAAAAAUAAACCGACAAACAAACCAGGAAAAAAGGUGUAUCCCAGAGAAGAUAAGAAUGGAUUAGAAGAGGCAGAAGACCAACGACUCAGAAAGCUGAAGCAGAAAAAAGCCCAAGGCGAACCUGAGAAACGUAAGAGGGACACCCUAUCUCAAAAGAAAAGUGUCAGCCAAAGGGCUGAAUAAAAAGAAAGGGGAAUGUAGCUAAACAGCACACCAAGGGCUGGCCUAAUGCAAGUCUGACACUUACACAGCUGGGGUUUUCCAAAAACUUGGAGUGUUGUGGUCACUUCUGGCUUCUUCAAUACUCCGGGCUAUUAAUUAGGAGGAACCACUAGAUUAACCCAUGGCCAUAAUCACCUACAAUAAAAACUCUAUGUGCA
RNAcentral lists this long non-coding RNA (19771 nucleotides) under Marmota monax (woodchuck). Lineage: Eukaryota; Metazoa; Chordata; Mammalia; Rodentia; Sciuridae. The record is from RNAcentral.